Molecule: ribosomal RNA, 253 nt
Filed under: uncultured bacterium
Lineage: Bacteria
Description: partial 16S ribosomal RNA
Rfam family: Bacterial small subunit ribosomal RNA
Source: RNAcentral
UACAGAGGGUGCGAGCGUUAAUCGGAAUUACUGGGCGUAAAGCGUGCGUAGACGGUCAUGUAAGUCGGAUGUGAAAGCCCCGGGCUCAACCUGGGAAUUGCAUUCGAGACUGCAUGGCUUGGGUGCGGAAGAGGGAAGCGGAAUUUCCGGUGUAGCGGUGAAAUGCGUAGAUAUCGGAAGGAACACCAGUGGCGAAAGCGGCUUCCUGGUCCGACACCGACGUUCAGGCACGAAAGCGUGGGGAGCAAACGGG